ACGCUGAAGGAGGAGCUUGCUUCUCUGGAUGAGUUGCGAACGGGUGAGUAACGCGUAGGUAACCUGCCUGGUAGCGGGGGAUAACUAUUGGAAACGAUAGCUAAUACCGCAUAAGAGUGGAUGUUGCAUGACAUUUGCUUAAAAGGUGCACUUGCAUCACUACCAGAUGGACCUGCGUUGUAUUAGCUAGUUGGUGGGGUAACGGCUCACCAAGGCGACGAUACAUAGCCGACCUGAGAGGGUGAUCGGCCACACUGGGACUGAGACACGGCCCAGACUCCUACGGGAGGCAGCAGUAGGGAAUCUUCGGCAAUGGACGGAAGUCUGACCGAGCAACGCCGCGUGAGUGAAGAAGGUUUUCGGAUCGUAAAGCUCUGUUGUAAGAGAAGAAUGAGUGUGAGAGUGGAAAUUCAC
This 414-nucleotide ribosomal RNA is filed under the name uncultured Streptococcus sp. RNAcentral describes it as "bacterial SSU rRNA". It matches the Rfam family "Bacterial small subunit ribosomal RNA", at positions 64 to 467 of the family's 1533-position model. Lineage: Bacteria; Bacillati; Bacillota; Bacilli; Lactobacillales; Streptococcaceae. The record is from RNAcentral.